CUUCGUUCAUCGGUAACUUUACUUGGAGCUAUAUUUUUAUUCACCACAUGAUAUGUGUUUUGCUUGGAGCGUCAUUUUCUUUUAUUUUGUUUUACUUGCUGUUUGAAUAAAAUAUCAAGAUCUGAAAUUGUUAAAUGUUAGAGAGUCUCCACAUAGUUACAUAAUUAUUCAAUUACUCAUUGAUCUUCACUUAUAUCUUUUGGAGUAGUUUGUCGUUUGCUCUAGUGCUUCACUUAUAUCUUUUAGAGCACGACGAUGGUUUUAUUUUGAAGAAAUAGAUGAAAUCUCAUGCUUCGCUUAUAUUAUUUUGAGAGUCCUAAACAGCAUGGUAAUUUGCUUUGGUUAUGAAAUUAGUCGUAAUAUGAUAGGCAUCCAAGAGGGAUAUAAUAAAAAAAUCAUAUAAGUGCAUUGAAUACUAAGAGAAGUUUGAUACUUGAUAGUUGUUUUGGGAUAUAAAGGUUAUAUUAGAGUCAUGCUAGUUGAGUAAUUGUGAAAUUGAGAAAUACUUGUGUUGAGGUUUGCAAGUCCCGUAGCAUGCACGUAUGGUAAACGUUGUGUGACAAAUUUGAUGCAUGAGGUGUUCUUUGAUUGCUUUCCUUAUGAGUGGCGGUCGGGGACGAGCGACAGUCUUUUCCUACCGAUCUAUCCCCCUAGGAGCAUGCGUGUAGUGCUUGGUUUUGAUGACUUGUAGAUUUUGUAAUAAGGAUGUGAGUUCUUUAUGACUAAUGUUGAGUCCAUGGAUUAUACGCACGAGCACCCUUCCAUCAUUGCUAGCCUCUUCGGGUACCGUGCAUUGCCCUUUCUCACCUUGAGAGUUGGUGCAAACUUCGCCGGUGCAUCCAAACCCCGUGAUAUGAUACGCUCUAUCGCACAUAAGCCUCCUUAUAUCUUGCUCAAAACAGCCACCAUACCAACCUACUAUGGCAUUUCCAUAGCCAUUCCGAGAUAUAUUGCCAUGCAACUUUCCACCGUUUCGUUUAUUAUGACACGCUUCAUCAUUGUCAUAUUGCCUUGCAUGAUCAUGUAGUUGACAUCGUAUUUGUGGCAAAGCCACCAUGUGAGGAAAGGAUGAUGGAGACUAUGAUUCCCCCACAAGUCGAGAUGAGACUCCGGACGAAAAAAAAGAGAAAAGAAAAAGAGGCCAAAAGAAAAAAAAGAAGGCCCAGAUAAAAAAGAUGAGAGAAAAGAGAGAAGGGACAAUGUUACUAUCCUUUUUCCACACUUGUGCUUCAAAGUAGCACCAUGAUCUUCAUGAUAGAGAGUAUCUUAUUUUGUCACUUUCACAUAGUAGUGGGAAUUUUUCAUUAUAGAUCUUGUCUUGUAUAUUCCAAUGAUGGGCUUCCUCAAAUGCCCUAGGUCUUCGUGAGCAAGAUAGUUGGAUGCACACCCACUUAGUUUCUUCUGUUGAGCUUUCAUAUAUUUAUAGCUCUAGUGCAUCCGUUGCAUGGCAAUCCCUACUCCUUGCAUUGACAUCAAUUGAUGGGCAUCUCCAUAGCCCGUUGAUUAGCCGCGUCAAUGUGAGACUUUCUCCUUUUUGUCUUCUCACACAACCUCAAUCAUCAUAUUCUAUUCCACCCAUAGUGCUAUGUCCAUGGCUUGCGCUCAUAUAUUGCGUAAAAUUUGAAAGAGUUUGAAAAGGCUAAGUAUGAAACAAUUGCUUGGCUUGUCAUCGGGGUUGUGCAUGAUGAGAGCAUUCUGUGUGACGAAAAUGAAGCAUGGCCAAACUAUAUGAUUUUGUAGGGAUAAGCUUUCUUUGGCUAUGUUAUUUUGAUAAGAUAUAAUUUCUUUGUUGCAUGUUGAGGGAUUGUUAUAUGAUCUAAUUAUGCUAUUAUUGUUGAGAGAACUUGCACUAGUAAAAGUAUGAACCCUAGGCCUUCCUAGCAUUGCAAUACCGUUUACAAUCACUUUUAUCAUUAGUUACCUUGCAGUUUUUAUAUUUUCAGAUUACAAAAACCUAUAUCUACCAUCCAUAUUGCACUUGUAUCACCAUCUCUUCGCCGAAGCGGAUUGAUAAACCUUAGGUCAUCCACUUGAGGGAAAUUUGCUACUGUCCUACAAACCUCUGCACUUGGAGGCCCAACAACGUCUACAAGAAGAAGGUUGCGUAGUAGACAUCAAGCAAUUUCUGGCGCCGUUGCCGGGGAGGUGAGUGCUUGAAGGUAUAUCUUUAGAUCUUGCAAUCGAAUCUUUUUGUUUCUUGUUUUAUCACUAGUUCAGUUUAUAAAAGAAAACUACAAAAACAUGGAAUUGAGGGUGCCUCAUUUGCUUCAUCUUUUUAAUGUCUUCCGUGAAAAUAAGGAUUCCGAUAAUUGUGCUCAAUUGCUAGAGGAAGAAUGCAUUAAAAUGUUUGGCACUAAAUAUUUGAAUGAUGAGCAUGAUUGCAAUGUUGUUAGUAUGAAUUCUUUGAAUAUCCAUAGUACUAAUGAUGAUUGCACUAGUCAUGAUGAAAAUGUCUCUUAUAAGCAUGUCAACUUUUGUGGAAUACAUAGAGCUUGCAAGUACACACCAAAUAGGGAAGAUAGAUUUUUCAAGAGGCAUAAGUAUCUAAAAACUAAAUGGUUGCAAGAAAGGCUAGAUGAUUGUGCUGAAAGAUUCAAUAUUUAUCGCCAUCUUUGUGAACUUUGCAAUGAACAUGGUCAUUUAAAGCUCCAAUGCUAUUUGUCUCAUGAUCAAAUCGUGUCCAAAAAUUGUGAUAACUUGAUUGCCCUUGAGCAUCAUAAAGAGCUUAGUCUUCUUUUGGGGUAUGAAGAAAUGAAACGUAUAACUGAGGGUAUUCCAAAAUUUAAUCUUGAUAGAUUUCUUGAUUUUGAUCUAGAAGAAAUUUUUAUGUAUUGUGAGGUGAAUUGCAUUGAAAAUCCUUAUAUUGCCAAUUACAUAAAGACAAGAAAACAAAUAGAAGAUGAAGAGAAUACUAAUGAAAGGGAAGAGACUUCCCAAUAUCUUCCUAUUAUUUCUUAUGAUGAAUCAGGCAACGAGGAGGAGCCUUCUAUUCAACCAAUCUCAUUAAUAAGGAGCUCCAAAAAGAGGAUUAAACCCACACAUAAUGUGAAGAAGAAAAAGAAAAGACGGAGAAGCAAAGGUAGAAAGUGAUCCCUCCCAAAUGAUGUUGCUCAUAUUACUCAUUGAGAUGAUGAUAAUUGCUAUAGUAUUGGUGCUAUCCAUACUAUUAAUGAUGAGAGUGAUUAUGCUUAUGAUAUGAAAAGGCCCAAGCUUGGGGAUGCUAUGUUUGAUGAGAAUGACAUGUUUGAGAAUAUUUUUGCUGCAAUUAAUGUUUGUCCCAAGCUUGGGGAUGCUAUGUUUAAUGAUGAUGAUAUUUUUAACCUCCCAAGUUUUGAUGAGAAAAUUUAUUAUGAUGACAGCAUGCCUCCUACUUAUGAUGAUUAUUGUGAUGAUACUUAUGCUAUAAAGAGUAGUGAUGAUUAUAUUUAUAAAACUUGUCAUGGUUAUGACUACUCUUUUAACGUGGAAACAAUUUAUAGUAUUCGAGUCUCUUAUGAUACUCCCACUAUUCCGAAAGAGAAGAAUUCUGCUUAUGUGGAGAAUAAUAAAAUUUCUAUGCAAGUAGAUCAUGAAAAUAAUGCUUUAUGUGCUGGUUAUAUUGUUGAAUUCAUUCAUGAUGCUACUGAAAAUUAUUAUGAGGGAGGAACAUAUGCUUGUAGGAAUUGCAAUAAUAUCAAGUUUCCUCUCUAUGUGCUUAAAGUUUUGAAGUUAUGCUUGUUUUGCCUUCCUAUGCUAGUUGAUUAUUGUUCCCAUAAUUUGUUUGCUCACAAAAUCCCUAUGCAUAGGAAGUGGGUUAGACUUAAAUGUGCUAGUCAUAUUCUUCAUGAUGCUCUCUUUAUGUUUCAAUUCUUAUCUUUGAUGUGAGCAUCAUUGAAAUCAUCAUGCCUAGCUAGGGGCGUUAAACGUUAGCGCUUGUUGGGAGGCAACCCAAUUUUAUUUUUGUUCUUUGCUUUUUGCUCCUGUUAGUAAUAAAUAAUUCAUCUAGCCUCUGGUUAGAUGUGGUUUUAUGUGUUAAUUAGUGUUUGUGCCAAAUAAGAUCUAUAGGAUCUUCUUGGAUGAUAAUUAUUUGAUCUUGCUGAAAAAGACAGAAACUUUCUGCUGACGAAAACAAUUGUUAAAAAUCACCAGAAAGUGAUAAAAUACUGAUUCCAAUUGCAGUAGAUCAAUAAUCAAAUUAUCCAGGUCUUCCUAUUUUGUAAGAUUUUUCUGAGUUCCAGAGGUUUGCGUUUGAUACAGAUGACUACAGACUGUUCUGUUUUUUGACAGAUUCUGUUUUCUAUGUGGUGUUUGCUUAUUUUGAUGAAUCUAUGAGUAGUAUCGGAGGGUAUGAACCAUAGAUAAGUUGGAAUACAGUAGAUAUUACACCAAUAUGAAUUUAUAAUGAGUUCACAACAGUGCCUAAGUGGUGAUUUAUUUUCUUAUACUAACGGAGCUUACGAGUUUUCUGUUAAGUUUUGUGUUCUGAAGUUUUCAAGUUUUGGGUAACGAUUCGAUGGACUAUGGAAUAAGGAGUGGCAAGAGCCUAAGCUUGGGGAUGCCCAAGGCAACCCAAGGUAAUAUUAAAGGACAAACAAGAGCCUAAGCUUGGGGAUGCCCCGGAAGGCAUCCCCUCUUUCGUCUUCGUUCAUCGGUAACUUUACUUGGAGCUAUAUUUUUAUUCACCACAUGAUAUGUGUUUUGCUUGGAGCGUCAUUUUCUUUUAUUUUGUUUUACUUGCUGUUUGAAUAAAAUAUCAAGAUCUGAAAUUGUUAAAUGUUAGAGAGUCUCCACAUAGUUACAUAAUUAUUCAAUUACUCAUUGAUCUUCACUUAUAUCUUUUGGAGUAGUUUGUCGUUUGCUCUAGUGCUUCACUUAUAUCUUUUAGAGCACGACGAUGGUUUUAUUUUGAAGAAAUAGAUGAAAUCUCAUGCUUCGCUUAUAUUAUUUUGAGAGUCCUAAACAGCAUGGUAAUUUGCUUUGGUUAUGAAAUUAGUCGUAAUAUGAUAGGCAUCCAAGAGGGAUAUAAUAAAAAAAUCAUAUAAGUGCAUUGAAUACUAAGAGAAGUUUGAUACUUGAUAGUUGUUUGGGAUAUAAAGGUUAUAUUAGAGUCAUGCUAGUUGAGUAAUUGUGAAAUUGAGAAAUACUUGUGUUGAGGUUUGCAAGUCCCGUAGCAUGCACGUAUGGUAAACGUUGUGUGACAAAUUUGAUGCAUGAGGUGUUCU
This 5201-nucleotide long non-coding RNA is filed under the name Triticum aestivum (bread wheat). RNAcentral's name for it is "long non-coding RNA (TAES_LNC009410)". The record is from RNAcentral. Lineage: Eukaryota; Viridiplantae; Streptophyta; Magnoliopsida; Poales; Poaceae.